GUGACGCAGGGUGACUUUGUUUUUCGACCACCGUUGCACAGCCCCCCCCCAAACAGGCGGGACAAACAACUCUACCCACACCCACUACAGAUUUAUGCUGCUGUAAUGGACUAACCACCAGCGUUCUCACACAGUGGGAGGUCAGAGAUCAGCCUGACACAUGCCAGCACCCCCUCCCACCAACAUUGUCUUGGACGUGAAUUACAAAGAGGAGCUGCAGGACCAGUCGAUCAGACGCCCGCCCUACCUCGUGAAUGAAUUUACUUCAAUUAGAGGUUGCAGUCGAGCACAAGAGGACAAAGCGUGUCGUCUUUUAUGAACAUUUAUUGUUACACAGUGUAAUGACCAUGCACGCUGUGACCCGAGCUAAUGACACCAUAGAUUAACUCCAGUGGGUAGCCUUUGGGAAAGUCCAAAACUAUUCCAAAGGUAUUGAUUUCGAGGCUUGCUGUGAAAUUGAACUGUCAGGUGUUCCACUGGGCCCUGAUAUGAUAUUGAUUCCUCCUGCUUAGCGACCAACAAAGAGUCUGGUUACCUGAAACAGCUCGGACAAGAGGACCCCUCCCCCAAAACUGCUUAUUGGAAUUUUAAAUAGAAAUUUGAUAAACUCUGGCUCUCAGGGGAAUGUGAGUGUUGCUACCUGGUCUCCAGACACUUUCUUUCUGCUCUCACUAAGACCAUUAGCCAUGCUUGGUGAUUUGAAUCCACUUCUGCAUUAAGCAGAAGCCUGAUGCUGAGAUCUUCUCUGUUACCACUAACAGUGGUAACACAACACUAACUCAUGGCUUUCCCAGCAACACUGGCUAGUAGGAAUAUUUGGAUGCUAUAGCCAAAGAGGAGCUCCUUUUUUGGAUAACAUAAAUAGUUUAACAGCCAUUAAAAGGUCAAAGCAGCAGACAUGGCUCAUAUAUGCAGAAAGUGUCCUUUAAUGUCUGGGCCCCCACACAUCCGAUCAGUAAAACGGGUCCAUUGCUCCUAAUUGUUGAUUUCCACAGAGCAGGUUUAUGAUUGCAACUCAAGUAAUCCUACUGUAGCUCAUCAAAAUCGAGCAGUUUUUGGUGUUUGGAUCUAACCAGCAAGUGAAAACAAAAGUACAGUGAAUCAGCAACUGGAAAAAAACAAAACAAAGGUCCCAAAAGUAAACCACAGUCUCCUGGUUGACAAAACUGCAACUUGUACCACUGCCAUUCCUCCAACACGCCAAUGCAGACUUUUGGAAACAGAGCAGUUAUCUCUCAAAUGCCAGUAUUGGUGCACAAAGGGAUGCAUAUGUUCACAUACACAGGCAUGAAACUUUGAAAAAGUGUUGCUGCAGUGGUUAGUUGCAGCUCUGCUUCACAGCAAGAGAGUUUGAGCUACAGUCCAAAGACAUUUGGUAGGUUAACUGGUGAUUCUAAACUGGCCGUAGGUGUGAGUGUGAUUUAUUGACUGCCCAUCAUAGCAAAUUCUGUCCAAGAGUAGAGUUUUAAAUGCGAGUAGACAUCUUCAUGAAUCCAAAAAUGUGUCACACUCACACCGUGAACUCUACAGCUCACGGUAUCUGAGAUAAGCAAAAAUGUGACCUAUAAGCGAGGCGUACUAGGAAAAAGCCUUUGCAAUCCAGUAAGAACAUUAGAGCAGAAUUAGUUUGCCACUGAAUGUACUGUUUAAGGAAAGAAGGGGACAUUUUGGGAAAAAUGUGCUCUGACAGAUAAAUGAAAGCCAGAGGAACAUUUUUAGUCUUGAUAAAAGAAUAUCUCGAGAGAAAAACCUCAUAGCAACUGUGAAGCUAAAUGGUCUAAAUAUUCUGGUUUCUUUUAGUUUCACUGCCUCAGAAACCCGGCAGCUUGUAGCCACCGAAUCUGUAAAUUCUGCAACAUCUCAAAGGGUGCUUGACAAUUUUUGAGGCCAUCUGUUCAAAAGUUGAACUUGCACCAGAAGUGGACCUUUCAACACGACAGCGAUCCUGAACACUCGAGUAAAUCCACCAAGGGGGAACACAAAAGGCUAAAGAAAUGGAGUGUUUAGGAAGAAAAAAAACAUGGAAAUGUGGUGGUGGAUUUGAAACAGGCAGUUAUUACAAGAAAACCCCCAGACAUCUUGCAAAUGAAGGACGGGUAAAAAGGACAUGCUGGAUAACCAUCAGCUGCCAGAAGACUGAAUUAUUAAAUUACAAUUUAUAAAACAAACAAAAAAAACUCAUUUUUGGCUGAAUAUAUAAAAAACCAAAACACUACAAGGCUUACAAGAACAAACCCCACUUCCUGUUUGAUCUUUAUUUCUUUUUUGGUUUUUUCAAUCUUGGUUAAUAAUUGGUUCUAAAAUGAAAUUCACGCUGCCUUCUGUCACUUUUUCUGUCAUUUACUUGAUGCCCUUCUUGCACUUUCUAGCAUUUUUUACAUCUUUUCUUUUAUUAUUUUAUACUUCCAGUGAUACUGGUCAAUAACCAUGGAAAGGCAUUGCAUGGGUGUCUGGUCACAAGCAUUUCUUGUCAGAUAACUAAUUUUUAUUUAUUAUUAAAAAAUUUUGUUAAAAAAAACCAGCCACACAGUACAUGAACUUUUCUUCCUCACAGUAAUAUUAAGAUGAUUUCUUGCUUUGUAUGAGAUGAUCUAAAUCAAACCACUGUGGCACAAACACCACUGACAGUGUUUGUGCCAUGUUGACGAUGAAUACUAUCGCCUACAGUAUAUGUGUGGAAGUGCCCUGAUCCAGGCCUUCAGUUUGUGUGCAGGCUUUGUUUUUUGUGUGUCUGCCUAAAUUUAAUUAACCAUGAUUUAGAUGUAUGAUGAUGUUUUUUUCCCUCUAGUAGCCGAUUUGCAAAAAAAACCCCUGGACGUUCCCGGCUACAAACUGGGACUGUACUGAAUUGCAAGAU
Molecule: long non-coding RNA, 2857 nt
Organism: Oreochromis niloticus (Nile tilapia)
Lineage: Eukaryota; Metazoa; Chordata; Actinopteri; Cichliformes; Cichlidae
Exons: 3
Source: RefSeq, a predicted model, not a curated record